This 4966-nucleotide long non-coding RNA is filed under the name Taeniopygia guttata (zebra finch). RNAcentral describes it as "lncRNA (ENSTGUG00000020120.1)". The record is from RNAcentral. Lineage: Eukaryota; Metazoa; Chordata; Aves; Passeriformes; Estrildidae.
CUGGUAAAGUAGAUUUAUUAAUUUGCUGAAGGCAAAGACAGAGACUGGGAGAAUGUAGAAUGAUACGCUCUAGGAGAGGAGAAAGUCCAAAUCCAUCUAAGGAACCUGAAGGUACACAAGUCCUUGGAACCAGAUGAGAUACAUCAUUUAGCAAUUAGAAAAACAACAGUUUAAUGUUAAGGAUGUGUAAGUUUCAGCUUCUAUGGUUAGAGAGUGCUACCACAGCUGUGAAAGGAAUACUGCAUUUCCAUUAUGGCAACAAAUCUUCACAUAGAGGCUAUUUAAGGACCAUUUUUCAGUAAGGAAUGAAAUUGGCAACAGAAUUAGGAACAUCUAUCUGGACUGGAUUGGCAGCCAUGCACAUCAAUUUUGUAGCUGAAUACAGGUUAAAAGCACAGGAAAAUUAAAUACAUCAAUCUGUAAAAUGUGUUAAAUUAUUUUGCAUAUUUUAUAUAAUAAUUUUUAAAGGUUAAUUGAAACUUGAUGCCUACCACAAAAAUAGAUUACGGGGAACCUGUUAUCUGGAAUCCCUGAUCUCUGCUUUUUUGCUGUAACAUACAAAGACUUACCCAGACACUAAGAAAUGGCAUUCCUUUACAGUUCUUAGCCUUAAGACACAUUUAAGGCAAGUGCAGCUCAUGCAGCUUUGUCACUUUAAAUCCACAGGUUUAGAUCAAUAGUCAGCAAUAGGUGCAUAGAAGGAAGGAAAAGAAAUAGAAGAAAAGCAAAAAAUCCCAAUCUGGAGUAGAGUAUACAUACAGACAUAAAGCCUUAAACACAAUCUAAUCCCUAGAAAAUUAAUCAAAUCACACUAAAAAGAGAAUGUGCCAUCUCCAGCAUCCUUGGGGGCAAAGGAAAUCACUCAGUGACUCUCCAAGUGGGAUGCAUAGAAUAAUGAGAUAUUCAUCUAUGAAAUCUUUUGUCUUGAACUCCACCAUUGUCUCUGGAUGCCUUUCAGUCUAUAGAAGAUUAUUAUAAAUGCAUGUCUGACAAAUUUUCUAGUGACCAAGCAUCACUGAAGUUUGCAACUGUCAUAAGGUUGCAACCACACAACCCUCACAGAUUCAGUUAAAUGAAGUUCCUAGUAAGCUGCAUCAUGACCCAAAUUUAAUUUUGAAAAAUUCAUGCUAGUAGCUAAAAAAAAAUUUCUUAGUUGGACAGCUGCCAUCUAAAUUAUUAAAAUCUCUGUUUUGAAAAGAAAUAUAUUAGUGAAAGAAGUAUGAGAUUGCAUAAAUAUACUGAACAAUCAUAUCAUGUGUUCAUGAUCAAGCUUUAUAAUGUGUUAAAGCUACAUAUACACAUUAACCCACAUGGUCUUACACAGAAAAACUGGCAGCUUUCCUGGUCUCUGUUUUAUUUCAUUUUAUUGUAAAGAGUGCAAAUUGAUGGUAUUUUGGCUAUUUGUUCCCUUACAGACAGAAUUACACAUUUUCACAUUCCACAUCAGAAGCUCAUAAAAACAUCUUUCUUAUUUUCUUUCUGAAGCAUCAGUGCUGAUAGUAAAGACUCUAUUUAUGAAUAAUAUUAAGAAAAUCAGUGUGUAGGCUUUGUCAGUCAACACCCUCAGGGAAACAUCUCUCCUAUCCUAAAAAUGACCAUAUUUUUUCAGUAUACCCACACAGUAUGUGGAAAUCUUCUAAAGUUGAGUUGAUUCUCUGAAUCAAUUGAACAUAUAUGUGUUGUGAACCACUUUUCUUAGCAGUUCUAAAAAGCAAAGCAAAAUAAAAACUCCCUACAAUUAAAAAUGAUGGAUUAAAAUCAUCAUACUUUAAAAGAGGAUUGUUAAAAGGGAAUUAAUGGUAGGAAUUAUCAAGGGGUGGGGGAAGAAAAUAUAUAAAUAAAUAUAUCAAGUAAAAGGUAGCACCAUUAGAAAUCACUGUGCAGUAGUUCUCUGUAGGAAGGUCUGAGAGCCCAGCACUCUCAUUCUUACUGAACUGAGACUUCUGUUAUACAGGAAGUUAAUCACUUAGGCAGAUCAGCAAAAUGCUUCCUUUCUGUCUCAGAGACAUUGCAUUCAAUUUUUCUGUUGUGUAGAAGAGAAAAAUUCUUUGUAAAACACAGUUUGCCGCUGUCAAAGCCAAGGAAGCUCUUAGAAAGUGAGAUAAUGAGCUGGAAUUUCUUUAUGCCAAGGACCAAAAUAUUGAAUAAGCUCUCUAACCUUUAGGUUGUUGUGUGAGACUCUUCAGCUGUGUUUUCUUAAUAGAUCGGCAGCUUGCCUAUAUUUUACAUUUAACACCUGAGAACUGCUUUGUGAAUUGGUACUGAACAAGCUGCUCAGAAUAGCUUAACACUUGGGGAAACAUAAAGACUUUGAAUCCUAUUUGGCUGUAAGCAUGGGUUAAUAGAAUGAUAUACUAGAUUUCUCUGAGAUUAUAAUGCUGCUUGGCAUACAGAAAGGGAAAACUUUUGGCUCCUGGUAAAAUUUAAUGUAUAAAGUACAGAAAUAAAAAUCAUGGGAUUGUAGUUUGAGAGCUGAGUGCAUCCACUGGUUCCCUGCAUCUGAGAACAGGCAUUAAUUUAGCUUCAAAUGCAGUCCUGAAUGGAGCUGAAAAUAGUCUUUGUGCCAAUCCACUUGAAAACAGAGCAUUGCAGGGUGCAUUAGAAUCUUCUCUAGAGAUCUGUAAUAGAGAAGUCAAGAUGGUGCUGUGUGGAAGAGAGGGGCAAGGCUCUGGGUAUGGGUACAAAUAAAAAUUACAGAAGAUCAGUAAGAAUGCCACCUAUGCUACUGAGUCAGAAAUUCUACCAUACACUUGCGUGCACUUUCUCAUGAUGCCUAGACCAGGAGACAAAGCCUUGAUAAUUCACUGGGGUGGAAUGGAAACAGCACUUACAGCUUGCUCCUAAAAGGCACAAAAAACCUGUAUAAAAAGUUAUUAAAUGCUUUUCAACCUAAAACCACUAGAGAAGCAGACUUCUAAGAUAGUAUUUUCUGCCUUAUAUCUCACCUAAGGAUUCAUGUAAGAACUGAGUGGAGACAGAAAACAUGUAUGGUUUUUUGCGCUAGACUGCCAGAUGCAUGUAUCUCAGUCCUUAUGAGUUUUUCCUUAGGAAACGAAAAGCUUGCAUGCAACUUUGCUGCAACACUGCAAUGGGUUUUCCUUUACUAUUUUUGUGGAAUCUAACAUUUUUCUUAAAAUUGUUCACAUGGAAAUCUUCACUGCAACAGGGGCUUCUUGCCCAUAUGGUCAGCAAUGCUCCCAUCUGUUCUUUGACCGGAUACAUUCAGUCUUUUUCUAGCCACUCUUAUAGUUUCUCAAGUGGCCAGAGAGAGAUCUUGCAAGAAUCUUCAUUUUGCCCUGAGCAGCAGCUACUGAGGAGACAGAGGAACAUCUUCUUAGGGCACAAAAGCUUCUUCAGCUAAAAGCUGAAAUAAAACUCUAUCAGGCAGAAUACAAACAAAAGCUUCUCUGGUACCAAGACAAGGCCAGCAACACUGACUGACACCUGAAGCCUCCUUCUUUGUCCCCUUUCUCAUGUUCUCCAAGACAAAGACUAUUAAAAUUUAGCCAAGCACACCUAUGCAUAUCCAGGAGAUUAGCAGCUUUUUGUGCAUGCUCCUCCAAUUGCUAGUGCCCUCUUCAGUGCUGGAAUACAAGACUCAGUAUUUUACUGAGUUAACUCAGUUUUACAACUAUUUUCACAAUAACCAGAAACUUAAAAAGUAAAACAAGGCUCCAAAUAGAGAGCCUUCUGGAUGUGCUUGAGAUAAUUAAAAAAUUACACUUAAAUUUCUGAGCAUCAGUGGUGCUUUUUAGUGCCUUAUUUUAGAUUUUAUGUGCCUGAGCAUGAGAGUAGAUAGUCACUCAUGUUUAUCAUGCAGAGUAAUACAAUAUUUAACUCUUGCUAAAAUUAUAGUUCUUACAUCACAAAAAAAAAAUUAAAUCCAAAAAUCCCCAACAUCUCCCAUAAGAUUUCUUUGAAAACUUCUGCUUUUUUUGCAUCUUAUGGACUUUAAAAGUCUUUGGGAAAACAUUUCAAGUACACUGCUCUGAUUUUGAACUGUUUUACAGCACCCACCCUGAAACAUUUCUUCCUCACCAGUGCAGUGCAUCAAAACUCCUUGGAAGUGUAAAAGCAAGAUUUUUGAUAAUUAAAAAAAAAUCCUUCGCUUCUGAAGGAAAAGCAAAAAUAAAAUUCUAAAUUAUAGGUUAUCAAAGCCUCAGCUGGGACUGAGGCUUUCUAUAGCUAAACAGAAUGGUUUGACUGUCUUCAACAUGAAAAAAUAAUAAAUGCCCACAGAGACACAAUUCUGACCAUGGCAUAGGAAAAUUACUGCAAACUUAUUAAGGAAGAAAAAAGUCAGACACAGCUAAGUAUUUACAAUUCAUGAACAAACACAGUUAUUUAAGUAGCCCAUAUAAUUUCUGUCGGCAGUCAUCACUUUGCAACAACCUCACCUCUGGUAUGCCCCAAGCACUUAAACACUUAUCAGGAUUAGGCUGGGUCAGGCACUUAGAAGUAAGUUUGUCAAAGCACAGCACCUAGAGGCUGCUGGCUGAUUGUAGCUCAUUUCUCUAUUAAGAAACAAUACUGCACAAGGUGGUUAAACAGUUGUACUAAUCUUGGCAAUAAAUUGCAAACAACAUGGGAAGCACCUGAGCUCACUGAAAUUCUGCAACACUUACACAAUGGAGAUGCUCAGGCUUCUGGCCCUCAGAAAUUUCCACCUGAAAUAAAUUAACCUUCAUGAGCACCACUGCUAAUAAUCUCAGCAGGGGCUAAGGAUUGUUUGUAGAGCAGCUCUCCAAAGCUUGCCUUCACUUCAAAGGCAUGCCAGUGCAUGACAGAGUAGAAUUUUUCCUCAGUGUAAAUAUUUUACUUUAUCCAAAUUUGCAUUCAAUAUUUUUAUUCAUUACAUACAUACAAGUAUAUAUGAAUAUAAUUCCAUUAGAUGUUGUUGGAUGGUCACAUCUUUCCACAGUAAUUCUCUCUCUAAAGAUGUUCUUUCUCUGGAUUCACUCUCCUA